Molecule: unclassified non-coding RNA, 207 nt
Filed under: Hevea brasiliensis (rubber tree)
Lineage: Eukaryota; Viridiplantae; Streptophyta; Magnoliopsida; Malpighiales; Euphorbiaceae
Source: RNAcentral
ACAGAUUAUUUCAGCAAUGAAAACAUACUGGGUAGAGGUGGAUUUGGUAAGGUUUACAAGGGGCGUUUGGAAGAUGGUUCAAUUGUUGCUGUAAAAAGACUGGAGAAUGAACCUACACCUGAUGGGGAACUUCAGUUUCAAACAACAACAGGGAUCAUCAACAGGGCUGUGCAUCGAAAUGUUCUUAGGCUACGUGGGUUUUGUAUG